This 497-nucleotide ribosomal RNA is filed under the name uncultured bacterium. RNAcentral's name for it is "partial 16S ribosomal RNA". It matches the Rfam family "Bacterial small subunit ribosomal RNA", at positions 28 to 507 of the family's 1533-position model. The record is from RNAcentral.
GACGAACGCUGGCGGCGUGCCUAAUACAUGCAAGUAGAACGCUGAAGCUUGGUGCUUGCACCGAGCGGAUGAGUUGCGAACGGGUGAGUAACGCGUAGGUAACCUGCCUGGUAGCGGGGGAUAACUAUUGGAAACGAUAGCUAAUACCGCAUAAGAGUAGAUGUUGCAUGACAUUUGCUUAAAAGGUGCAAUUGCAUCACUACCAGAUGGACCUGCGUUGUAUUAGCUAGUUGGUGAGGUAACGGCUCACCAAGGCAACGAUACAUAGCCGACCUGAGAGGGUGAUCGGCCACACUGGGACUGAGACACGGCCCAGACGCCUACGGGAGGCAGCAGUAGGGAAUCUUCGGCAAUGGACGGAAGUCUGACCGAGCAACGCCGCGUGAGUGAAGAAGGUUGUCGGAUCGUAAAGCUCGGUUGUAAGAGAAGAACGAGUGUGAGAGUGGAAAGUUCACACUGUGACGGUAGCUGACCAGAAAGGGACGGCUAACUACGUG